GACGGGGGAGGCAAGCGUUGUCCGGAAUCACUGGGCGUAAAGCGUCUGUAGGUGGUGAUGCAAGUCACUGGUGCAAAACUCUGGCUCAACCGGGGGAAUGCCAGUGAAACUGCAUGUCUAGAGUGUGGGAGAGGUAGAAGGAAUUCCCUGAGUAGCGGUGAAAUGCGUAGAUACAGGGAAGAACACCGGAGGCGAAAGCGGUCUACUGGACCACAACUGACACUGAGGGACGAAAGCUAGGGGAGCGAAUGGG
This 253-nucleotide ribosomal RNA is filed under the name uncultured bacterium. RNAcentral's name for it is "partial 16S ribosomal RNA". It matches the Rfam family "Bacterial small subunit ribosomal RNA", at positions 524 to 776 of the family's 1533-position model. The record is from RNAcentral.